AGUUGAGCGAUUUACUUCGGUAAGAGCGGCGGACGGGUGAGUAACGCGUGGGUAACCUACCCUGUACACACGGAUAACAUACCGAAAGGUAUGCUAAUACGGGAUAAUAUAUUUGAGAGGCAUCUCUUGAAUAUCAAAGGUGAGCCAGUACAGGAUGGACCCGCGUCUGAUUAGCUAGUUGGUAAGGUAACGGCUUACCAAGGCGACGAUCAGUAGCCGACCUGAGAGGGUGAUCGGCCACAUUGGAACUGAGACACGGUCCAAACUCCUACGGGAGGCAGCAGUGGGGAAUAUUGCACAAUGGGCGAAAGCCUGAUGCAGCAACGCCGCGUGAGUGAUGAAGGCCUUCGGGUCGUAAAACUCUGUCCUCAAGGAAGAUAAUGACGGUACUUGAGGAGGAAGCCCCGGCUAACUACGUGCCAGCAGCCGCGGUAAUACGUAGGGGGCUAGCGUUAUCCGGAUUUACUGGGCGUAAAGGGUGCGUAGGCGGUCUUUCAAGUCAGGAGUGAAAGGCUACGGCUCAACCGUAGUAAGCUCUUGAAACUG
This 546-nucleotide ribosomal RNA is filed under the name uncultured bacterium. RNAcentral's name for it is "bacterial SSU rRNA". It matches the Rfam family "Bacterial small subunit ribosomal RNA", at positions 60 to 635 of the family's 1533-position model. The record is from RNAcentral.